ACGCUGGCGGCACGCCUAACACAUGCAAGUCGAACGAAGUAGCAAUACUUAGUGGCAGACGGGUGAGUAACAUGUAGGUAUCUGCCCUUUGGCCUGGAAUAACACGAGGAAACUUGUGCUAAUACCGGAUAAGUCUUUACGGAGAAAGCUUUAUGCACCAUUGGAUGAGCCUGCACUUGAUUAGUUUGUUGGUGGGGUAAUGGCCUACCAAGACUGUGAUCAAUAGCUGAUUUGAGAGGAUGAUCAGCCACAUUGGGACUGAGACACGGCCCAAACUCCUACGGGAGGCAGCAGUGGGGAAUCUUGCACAAUGGAGGAAACUCUGAUGCAGCGAUGCCGCGUGAGUGAAGAAGGCCUUUGGGUUGUAAAGCUCUUUCGUCGGGGAAGAAAAUGACUGUACCCGAAUAAGAAGGUCCGGCUAACUUCGUGCCAGCAGCCGCGGUAAUACGAAGGGACCUAGCGUAGUUCGGAAUUACUGGGCUUAAAGAGUUCGUAGGUGGUUGAAAAAGUUGGUGGUGAAAUCCCAGAGCUUAACUCUGGAACUGCCAUCAAAACUUUUCAGCUAGAGUAUGAUAGAGGAAAGCAGAAUUUCUAGUGUAGAGGUGAAAUUCGUAGAUAUUAGAAAGAAUACCAAUUGCGAAGGCAGCUUUCUGGAUCAUUACUGACACUGAGGAACGAAAGCAUGGGUAGCGAAGAGGAUUAGAUACCCUCGUAGUCCAUGCCGUAAACGAUGUGUGUUAGACGUUGGAAAUUUAUUUUCAGUGUCGCAGCGAAAGCGAUAAACACACCGCCUGGGGAGUACGACCGCAAGGUUAAAACUCAAAUGAAUUGACGGGGACCCGCACAAGUAGUGGAGCAUGUGGUUUAAUUCGAAGAUACGCGCAGAACCUUACCAACACUUGACAUGUUCGUCGCGACUCUAAGAGAUUAGAGUUUUCGGUUCGGCCGGACGAAACACAGGUGCUGCAUGGCUGUCGUCAGCUCGUGUCGUGAGAUGUUGGGUUAAGUCCCGCAACGAGCGCAACCCUCACUUUUAGUUGCCAUCAUUAAGUUGGGCACUCUGAAAGAACUGCCAGUGAUAAGCUGGAGGAAGGUGGGGAUGACGUCAAGUCCUCAUGGCCCUUACGUGUUGGGCUACACACGUGCUACAAUGGUAUCUACAACAGGAAGCAAAACUGCGAAGUUAAGCAAAUCCCUAAAAGAUACCUCAGUUCGGAUUGCACUCUGCAACUCGAGUGCAUGAAGCUGGAAUUACUAGUAAUCGUGGAUCAGCGUGCCACGGUGAAUGCGUUCCCGGGUCUUGUACACACCGCCC
Molecule: ribosomal RNA, 1315 nt
Filed under: uncultured Alphaproteobacteria bacterium
Lineage: Bacteria; Pseudomonadati; Pseudomonadota; Alphaproteobacteria
Description: uncultured alpha proteobacterium 16S ribosomal RNA
Rfam family: Bacterial small subunit ribosomal RNA
Source: RNAcentral